This 495-nucleotide ribosomal RNA is filed under the name uncultured bacterium. RNAcentral describes it as "partial 16S ribosomal RNA". It matches the Rfam family "Bacterial small subunit ribosomal RNA", at positions 28 to 507 of the family's 1533-position model. The record is from RNAcentral.
GACGAACGCUGGCGGCGUGCCUAAUACAUGCAAGUAGAACGCUGAAGGAGGAGCUUGCUUCUCUGGAUGAGUUGCGAACGGGUGAGUAACGCGUAAGUAACCUGCCUGGUAGCGGGGGAUAACUAUUGGAAACGAUAGCUAAUACCGCAUAAGAGUAGAUGUUGCAUGACAUUUGCUUAAAAGUUGCAAUUGCAUCACUACCAGAUGGACCUGCGUUGUAUUAGCUAGUUGGUGGGGUAACGGCUUACCAAGGCGACGAUACAUAGCCGACCUGAGAGGGGGAUCGGCCAGACUGGGACUGAGACACGGCCCAGAGGCAUACGGGAGGCAGCAGUAGGGAUUCUUCGGCAAUGGACGGGAGUCUGACCGAGCAACGCCGCGUGAGUGAAGAAGGUCUUCGGAUCGUAAAGCUCUGUUGUAAGAGAAGAACGAGUGUGAGAGUGGAAAGUUCACACUGUGACGGUAUCUUACCAGAAAGGGCCGGCUAACUACGUG